GGUCCGACCUUGCAUUCUUGACAGCGGCCGACCUCAUGGGAACCUCAUAACUGGCCGAGGUCAGAGUGACACCCCCAAUAUAUAUCAAACUGAUAAACAUAAAAUGUUGAUGAUGGAAAGCAGGGGAAGAAAAGAAGCCGCGGGUAUUACCAGAGUUUGCAAAGAGGGAAAGUGCCUUUUAUUAUGAUAAAAAAAGGCUGGUAAUUAUAUUAAAGCAAAGGAAACAGAGAUUAGUAUGCGCUUACAAACAGUCCC
Molecule: long non-coding RNA, 255 nt
Filed under: Elaeis guineensis (African oil palm)
Lineage: Eukaryota; Viridiplantae; Streptophyta; Magnoliopsida; Arecales; Arecaceae
Description: long non-coding RNA (EGUI_LNC006256)
Source: RNAcentral